RNAcentral lists this ribosomal RNA (429 nucleotides) under Bacteroidota bacterium. RNAcentral's name for it is "Bacteroidetes bacterium partial 16S ribosomal RNA". It matches the Rfam family "Bacterial small subunit ribosomal RNA", at positions 355 to 776 of the family's 1533-position model. Lineage: Bacteria; Pseudomonadati; Bacteroidota. The record is from RNAcentral.
UAGGGAAUCUUCGGCAAUGGGGGGAACCCUGACCGAGCAACGCCGCGUGAGUGAAGAAGGUUUUCGGAUCGUAAAGCUCUGUUGUUAAGGAAGAACGAGUGUGAGAAUGGAAAGUUCAUGCUGUGACGGUACUUAACCAGAAAGGGACGGCUAACUACGUGCCAGCAGCCGCGGUAAUACGUAGGUCCCGAGCGUUGUCCGGAUUUAUUGGGCGUAAAGCGAACGCAGGCGGUUAGAAAAGUCUGAAGUGAAAGGCAGUGGCUCAACCAUUGUAGGCUUUGGAAACUGUUUAACUUGAGUGCAGAAGGGGAGAGUGGAAUUCCAUGUGUAACGGUGAAAUGCGUAGAUAUAUGGAGGAACACCGGUGGCGAAAGCGGCUCUCUGGUCUGUAACUGACGCUGAGGCUCGAAAGCGUGGGGAGCGAACAGG